GGGUAUCGCCAAGCGGUAAGGCACCGGAUUCUGAUUCCGGCAUUCCGAGGCACAUCACUCAUAAUGAUGGGGUCACAGGUUCGAAUCCCGUCGUAGCCACCA
Molecule: transfer RNA, 102 nt
Filed under: Klebsiella pneumoniae
Lineage: Bacteria; Pseudomonadati; Pseudomonadota; Gammaproteobacteria; Enterobacterales; Enterobacteriaceae
Description: tRNA-Gln
Rfam family: tRNA
About the family: Transfer RNA (tRNA) molecules are approximately 80 nucleotides in length. Their secondary structure includes four short double-helical elements and three loops (D, anti-codon, and T loops). Further hydrogen bonds mediate the characteristic L-shaped molecular structure. tRNAs have two regions of fundamental functional importance: the anti-codon, which is responsible for specific mRNA codon recognition, and the 3' end, to which the tRNAs corresponding amino acid is attached (by aminoacyl-tRNA synthetases). tRNAs cope with the degeneracy of the genetic code in two manners: having more than one tRNA (with a specific anti-codon) for a particular amino acid; and 'wobble' base-pairing, i.e. permitting non-standard base-pairing at the 3rd anti-codon position.
Source: RNAcentral